UGAAAAGACCACUUGUGAGUCCGCGCAGAUAGGU
RNAcentral lists this small RNA (34 nucleotides) under Bombyx mori (domestic silkworm). Its description in RNAcentral is "ovarian small RNA-7849". The record is from RNAcentral. Lineage: Eukaryota; Metazoa; Arthropoda; Insecta; Lepidoptera; Bombycidae.